UGGGGAGUCGCCAAGUUGGUCAAGGCACCGGAUUUUGAUUCCGGCAUUCGAAGGUUCGAAUCCUUCUUCCCCAUCGA
Molecule: transfer RNA, 77 nt
Filed under: Betaproteobacteria bacterium HGW-Betaproteobacteria-10
Lineage: Bacteria; Pseudomonadati; Pseudomonadota; Betaproteobacteria
Description: tRNA-Gln
Rfam family: tRNA
About the family: Transfer RNA (tRNA) molecules are approximately 80 nucleotides in length. Their secondary structure includes four short double-helical elements and three loops (D, anti-codon, and T loops). Further hydrogen bonds mediate the characteristic L-shaped molecular structure. tRNAs have two regions of fundamental functional importance: the anti-codon, which is responsible for specific mRNA codon recognition, and the 3' end, to which the tRNAs corresponding amino acid is attached (by aminoacyl-tRNA synthetases). tRNAs cope with the degeneracy of the genetic code in two manners: having more than one tRNA (with a specific anti-codon) for a particular amino acid; and 'wobble' base-pairing, i.e. permitting non-standard base-pairing at the 3rd anti-codon position.
Source: RNAcentral